Molecule: long non-coding RNA, 755 nt
Organism: Antechinus flavipes (yellow-footed antechinus)
Lineage: Eukaryota; Metazoa; Chordata; Mammalia; Dasyuromorphia; Dasyuridae
Exons: 3
Source: RefSeq, a predicted model, not a curated record
UGCAGAUUAGAGGCUGCCCUGGGCUGUGCCCCCCUGCUGUGCAGGUUGACAACUGCCCCAAGGAAAAGCCCUGUACUAGGGGUUGGGGCUGUGAGCUUGUGCUGCGAUCUGUGCUCUCACUUCCAGGUUGGGGCUUUGCUGUGUCUGCCUCCAGGUCUCCCCCUGUCCCUGCUGAUCUUCUUCCCGGCCCUGAGGACAAACCUUUUUUGGCAAGAUUCCAAAUUAUCUUCGGCUGCUAGAGUUGAUGCACUGAGGUCCCGAGCAUGUGAGGCUAAAUAAAAAUUGGACAAUACUCUACUAAUAUAUGCUUGGAGAAAGAAUGGCCCCACCCACUCUCUGUGCAAGUUUUGAUGUGUUGUAUAGGAAAUGAUGUAGAGAUGAUUUGGUGCGUGGAGCAAGAGAGACAGAGGCACUGCUGGCCAGGUUCGUGUUGCGACUGCUCUCACUUCGUAUUGCCAUUUCCCCUUCACCUCCGCAAAGAAUAAAGAUCAAGGAUUUUCCUUUAACCUGAAUUUCUGACUCCGGCUGAUUUUAAAAUAUGCAGUCAUCACAUUUGGCACUCAUUGUGGAACCAAGGACCCUAUUUUCACUGAAGAAGUCUCCAGUGACCAGGAAAUUAGAUGAUCCACAAUACCCUCAGAUAUCAUCAUGCCUCCCCUGCCUGGCUCUUGGAUUCUUCAUACAAAUACAGCAUCUUAAUAUAUAAUGCUACGCUCUGACCUCUACUUAUCUUUUCUUUUGAAUAAAGUAUAUUG